Molecule: ribosomal RNA, 292 nt
Filed under: uncultured bacterium
Lineage: Bacteria
Description: partial 16S ribosomal RNA
Rfam family: Bacterial small subunit ribosomal RNA
Source: RNAcentral
GUGUCAGCAGCCGCGGUAAUACGUAGGGGGCCAGCGUUGUCCGGAUUUACUGGGCGUAAAGCGCGCGUAGGCGGAACGUUAAGUCUGGCCUGAAAGCCCCCGGCUCAACCGGGGAAGGUGGCUGGAAACUGGCGUUCUUGAGGGCGAUAGAGGAGUGUGGAAUUCCUGGUGUAGCGGUGAAAUGCGUAGAGAUCAGGAGGAACACCCAUGGCGAAGGCAGCACUCUGGGUCGGCCCUGACGCUGAGGCGCGAAAGCGUGGGGAGCGAACGGGAUUAGAUACCCCCGUAGUCC